AUAUGAAUCACCUGGGGAUUUUGUUAAAAUGCAGAUUCUGAUUCAGUGGGUUUGGAAUAAACUUUAAGAUGCUGUAUUUUUAUAAGUACACAGGUGACCAUGGU
This 104-nucleotide microRNA precursor is filed under the name Marmota monax (woodchuck). Lineage: Eukaryota; Metazoa; Chordata; Mammalia; Rodentia; Sciuridae. The record is from RNAcentral.